RNAcentral lists this ribosomal RNA (1215 nucleotides) under Triticum aestivum (bread wheat). RNAcentral's name for it is "partial small subunit ribosomal RNA". The record is from RNAcentral. Lineage: Eukaryota; Viridiplantae; Streptophyta; Magnoliopsida; Poales; Poaceae.
AUGCAACAAAUCACUCAGUUAGAACAAGAGCAAGCUGAGGAGCAGGUUCAGCAAAUAGCUGGCAGAGGGGGCAAUGCACAGAGAGAUCAAGUCCAAGACAACAGAAGACCUCUGACUUUGGUGAAACCUGCUAAGUAUAACAUACCGGAGUUUGAUGGCAGUGGAACUGACUCUUGGAUCCAAACCAUUGAAAUGUACUUUGAAGCUGCUAGGACACCACUGGAGCAGAAAACUGAAAUUGUUGUCACUUACUUAAAGGGGCCAGCAAUAGAGUGGUGGAGAGGAACUGGAAUUAUUGCCAAUACCCUACCCUGGUACAGGUUCUGUAGACUGAUUGGAGACAGGUUUUCCGAAACUUCAGUAUAUGACAAUGUCAGAACUUUUCAUGCUCUCAACCAAACUGGGUCUGUUAAUGACUAUGUGCUCAAGUUUGAACAGUCCAUGAACUUACUCAGGAGGGACAACCCUGCACUGCCUGCUGAUUAUUACAAAGCUAGUUUCAUUGCUGGUCUGAGUGACACUAUCCAACAUUAUUUUCAAUGUCAUGAACCAGCAGACCUACAAAAAGCUAUCUGGUUGGCCAGAAGAAUGGAACAAGCUCAGCCCAGCAAGAAAACACCAGUGGCUUAUAUUAAUCAGCCAGUUAGGAGGCAACUUCAGUUGGACCUAGGAAAGCCACCUCCUAACAACACACCUACUGUCAUCCAACGGGCCAGAAUGAAAGGAAUCUGCUACCAGUGCAAAGAACCAUGGUUUCCUGGCCACAAGAAAGUUUGCAAAUUGGCAAAUCAAAUGCAGAUACAAGCCUUGCAAGAGACCUGCCCUGAGGAUGCAGAACUGGUCUACUACACUGCUGAUGAUACUGAAGCUCCACCUCCCACUGACUUGGAUGACACUCCCUUGCAAAUCUCCAUGCAUGCCCUCAUGGGAGUCACUUCCUCCAAGCUGAGUUUCACUGUUACAGUCAUGUUGGGAGACAGACCUGCAACUGACCUCAUUGACAGUGGCAGCACCGCAACAUUUGUAACUCCUGCACUUGCAAAGCUGGCUCUGUGUGCUCUUACUCCAACUAAGAAAAAGAAAGUGUUAGUUGCCAAUGGAGCAACUCUAUGGACUGAAUUCAUUGCCACCCAGUGCCCUUUUGUGGUGCAAGGAACUAAAUUUUCCCAUGAUUUCCGAGUCCUACAGUUGCAAGGUUAUGAUGUGAUAUUGUGA